Molecule: long non-coding RNA, 3661 nt
Organism: Gallus gallus (chicken)
Lineage: Eukaryota; Metazoa; Chordata; Aves; Galliformes; Phasianidae
Source: Ensembl
UGAUUGAGCACCUGGUGGGAAGGCAGGGCCAACCCAGGGGAGCUCAGGUGCAUGCAGUGUGCCUGAGUGACUAGAAUGGGUGGAGCCAGGAUCCACCCCUUCCAGACCUCAUUUAAGGGUUGGCAGUGGAGGCAAGGGUAUCUCUCUGGAUGUCUGUAUGUAUCUGAGGUCUUCUUAAGGUUUGGAUUUUUAUUAAAAAAAACAGAUACUUGUUGGCACAUUUUGCACAGUGUGGCGUUAAACGUUCCUCAAAACAGUGUGUGUGUGGAACUUGAAUGGAAGGGCAGCUCACAGUACAAGAGCAGUUUAAUAUGGGAAACCUUUACUCAAGCAAUGCCAAAGAGUGAGCAAGGUGAAGAGAGCCUGUCAAAAUUGAGCAAUAGCAUUGAACUGAUUAGCUGCUUAACAGUUAACUAGUGAUACUCUGUUUUUAAACUGCCUGUGCUUUCAGUAUAUGUCCUAGAGUGUGCUGUUCUUCUCUCCCAUGUAAAUAUUCACUGCUGUACUACACAAAAUGGCUGCUAAAUAUGCCUGUCAUAUCAAAGAGUGAAGCAUGAAAGUACAAUGGGCAUUUGUAUCUGAAGGAUAUAAAGGACUGUAUGUGGAAUCUGCUGCGGGUUUAGUGAUGUCCAGUGGAGCUGCUGGAAAUGUAUUCUAUUCUGAAAUGUAAUCCUAUUCAAGAACUAGACUUGUAUGUAAUUGGCAGUGAUCAGCUGCUUCAUACCACCAUGUAAUUCCCCGGUUAUUCUAUUCUUUGUACUCUUGCUUAUGAAUAUCUAAUUAGCAUAACAAAUUUACAGUGACUUCUUAAUGUGUAGUAUGCUAAAUGUUCCUAUUGGAUUAUGGGGUAAUCUGAUUUACUGAAAUCCUUGAACAGCCAUUCUCAAUAACCUCUGUGUGGACAUACAGGAUCUGCUGAUGUGACUGUCUUCUAGUCUGAAAACACUCAGGAAAAUGGCCUGUGACAAACAUACCUUGCUCAGCUUUUUUGCUCGGUUCCAUUGAAACAUGCAUUGCCUACAAUAUAUGUGAAUGAAGAAUUGAAGUUUCACGCUGCCUAUUCCUUGUUACUUCUCUGUCCUGGUAUUAAUGAUACUGGAGACCAGAUGGCUGACUCUAGAAGGAAAGAAUGUACUUGUGUAUGUUGUGUGUGUGAGGGUAUGUGAAUGUUAAUUUGUCCUCCACGGCUAUAUAAUAGGGUAAGAAUAAUUGACUGGUCACACAUUUUAUUACAAGAUAGUUUGGGGUACAUCUAAAAAAAAAAGUUGAAGAGUUGACAGAAGAGCUUCUCUUCUGGGAAGAGAAGAGGAAGCCAUCUGCCUCCAUCCUGUCUAUCUGAAGGUGGUCUUGCCUCCAUUCAUGCAUCAUGAACUUCUAGGUCAACUGAGUUUAAGUCACGUGGUUGGAUCAGAAUGGCUAGCUGCUCCAGAUUGUGCUCUCUAGGAAGAAAACUUGGGAGAGCUUGUGGGUUUUUAAUGCAAUCACCAGGCUUUGAUUCGGAAUCAGCUCAUGAAAUGAGGAUAAUUGUUAUAGUAAGCACAUCCAGAAAUCUAAAUGUUUGGAGCAAAUUAUGCAUUCAACUCAAGUAAUGCUGUAAGACAACAUCUUGUUUAAAUGGGUUUUGGGAGUAUCCCACUGGAACUGAUGGUUGAAUAUCUAUAUGGAACCAAUACAGAUGCACUCUUCAACACUGAUCAAGGUCUGAGAUGGUGAAUAUCAAUGUCAGCCCAAGUAUAUAGAAUUGUGAAUUGACAGUGUAAUUACUGCUUUGUGAAGAGAUGCAUUAGUAAUUCACUUAUGCUGAAUUUAAGUCCUUCUUAUAUCCAUUUGUUCAAGAUUCCAAUAUCUUGUUAACAUCUUUGGGAAUGUGUAUGUUUUUGGAUAAUGCCUAAUUGUAAGAUCCCCUCUUUACCUGGAGUGUAGCGGAAGCCUGAUAAAUGUCCAAUAGUAUAGUAAAGGUACAUAUUUAACAAUUAGUGUGUUUACAGGAGGAAGCCCAAAUAAGAAAAUUCUCUUGAGAAAGAGGUCUUGUUUGUCAAACAGCAAUUGAUUAAAAAUAAGACAGACUCUGGUAUAACAUCCAAGUCUUUGUUGGUAGUGAACAGAUGCUACACCAGCAGUCAUGGGACUUUCAUAGAACUGCUAUGAAUAUGUUCACAGCAUGAGAAGAUGGGCAACAUGCUGUUAAAAUGCUGCUUUCCAAAUCCCAGGCCUUCUACAGUUCUGCUAUAGAGCCUUCUUUAGGCAUGCCUUUGAAUUAAGGAAGAUCCAUUAUGAUCUAACAUUCUGAAAUUGUGUCAGUGAUAUUAUAGUUUAGUCUGUUUAGGGCUAAAGGGUUGGGAAGGAAAAUAUCAAUCUUACUGUAUCCUGAUGUCAAACAAUCUAUAUUUGGCUUUGAGAUUCUUGGUUCAAGUGCUAAUCAAAACUCUUUUCAUAAAUUGUAAAAUGAUUGAAAAAAAGAUUUAAUUAGCCAGAUUCAUUUGUCUUUACAGUAGACAUAAAAAGCCACUGUACAGUGUCAAAAGGCAUUUUUAUUUUUUGCUUAUUAACCAUUAUUUAGAAGAGGUGGAUGCUGUUGGACAGAGUCUCUAGCCUGUAGCUGCACAGAAUACAACAUGAAGAGUUUACUUUUGUGUUCUUAUAACUCUUUACAGUAACUUGACUACCUUGUAUGCUUGAUAUAGUAGAGAUAAUAAAAGAAAAUGAGCCUAAAGGAAGAUGCAGAGUGAUUGAGCACUGGUUAAUUAGCAGGCUAUUUAACAAACUGUCAUAUUUUUCCUGGGGAGGAUGAUAAUAUUUGAGAAGAGGUACAACAAUAAAUAACCUGCAAAACUGUUAAGAGGUAAAGAAGAAUUAGUGACUCUUAGAAUUCUAGCUGUGUUUUAGGUUGAGCUAUGUAUGAAGUAGUUUCUAUUAGUCUCACAGAAGAGGGACAAUUACAAGGAAACAGGCUAAGAAGUUUACUGACCUAUUUUGUGACUUAAUUUAAGGGUUAAAUGUGAGUAGUUCAAAUAGAUGCGAGAUCUUGCUGAAGAUUGAAGACCAGAAGGUCGAGAGUUUGGAGAAAAAUUAAGUAAAACACAUCAGAAAACUGUUCUUAUGGUGUAAUAAAGUUGAAUGGCUCAUAGUUCAGUAGGGAGUGUAUAUGAUUACUUAGUUUCCCUUUGUAUUUAUGAGUGUUUUUUUUAAGGGAAUAAUUGUUAAGGUAAUGCUGGGCAGGAGGAAUGUCAGGUGUCUCCAGUUGGGCCAGGCAGGGCUACUAUUUCUCAUUCGAAGGCAGCUGGUGCUAAAGGGAAUUGUGGAAGAGGACUGAAGAGAGGAGGGGAGUUAAUGGCUCUAGUGUCUGCUGUUAUAUGUGACUCCAGGAACAUGAAUCCAGGGCUCACAAAUCAAGUGCAUUGCUUCUGACUUUUUUUGAGGCAUAUAUUUCACUUUAACCAUAUAAUCUCCCCUGAUCAUCCUACAUCUAUGAAAAUUACUUUUUUUUUUCUGACCAAAAAAAUGAUCCUGAAUUCUUUUAAAAACAACCUUCUUAUGCAAGUAAUUGGUGCAGCUUAAUGAGGUCAGAGAGGCUAGAAAAACACUUGGGUCUGAGGGCCUGGAAUCCUUACUGUGCGCACUGCGAUAAGGAGUUUCUUGGUAAAGUCUUGCUAGUCCUGUG